GAUGAAGAACGCAGCGAAAUGCGAUAAGUAAUGUGAAUUGCAGAAUUCAGUGAAUCAUCGAAUCUUUGAACGCACCUUGCGCUCGUUGGUAUUCCGACGAGCAUGCCUGUUUGAGUGUCAUUAAAUUCUCAACCUCAUCGCUUUUGUGAUGAAGGCUUGGAUGUGGAGGUUUUCUGCAGGCCGAAAGGUCUGCUCCUCUCAAAUGAAUUAGUGGGUGCCCCGCGCAAACCUAUCUAUUGGUGUGAUAAUUAUCUACGCCGUGGAUUUAGGAUUGCUGUAAAAAGGUGUUUGCCCUGCUUCUAACCGUCUUCGGACAACUUGAACCAUUUGACCUCAAAUCAGGUAGGACUACCCGCUGAACUUAAGCAUAUCAAUAAGCGGAGUA
RNAcentral lists this unclassified non-coding RNA (385 nucleotides) under soil metagenome. RNAcentral's name for it is "partial contains 5.8S ribosomal RNA, internal transcribed spacer 2, and large subunit ribosomal RNA". The stretch from base 1 to 120 matches the Rfam family "5.8S ribosomal RNA", at positions 35 to 154 of the family's 154-position model. The record is from RNAcentral.